Molecule: long non-coding RNA, 221 nt
Filed under: Gallus gallus (chicken)
Lineage: Eukaryota; Metazoa; Chordata; Aves; Galliformes; Phasianidae
Source: RNAcentral
GGAAACCACACCAUGGCCAAGUAAGCAGCACCUUCCAGUCAAGAACCUGGAGAUUCUCAAGAUGAGCAAAGGAGCCUUGUGCAACUGCCACGCAGAUGGACAGCCUCCCUAUUAAGGCUACUUACAGGGUAUUUAAGGCUCAGCCUCUCCAGUUCUGUCACCUCAGGAAUAAAGUUGAACAAAACAAAAAGGAGACCACUUCUGUUUUUAAGGAUCCUGCA